UCGAAGAGGACCGACCUCGGGAGCCAGUACAGGUGCUGCAUGGCUGUCGUCAGCUCGUGUCGUGAGAUGUCGGUUAAGUCCGCUAACGAGCGCAACCCUCGCCGUGUGUUAUACGUGUCACGCGGGACCGCCGGUAUCAAGCCGGAGGAAGGUGAGGAUGACGUCAAGUCAGCAUGGCCUUUAUAUCCUGGGCUACACACACGCUACAAUGGCCAACACAACAGGUUGCGAAACCGCGAGGUGGAGCCAAUCCCCAAAGUUGGUCUCAGUCCAGAUUGCAGGCUGCAACUCGCCUGCAUGAAGUCGGAGUUGCUAGUAACGGCAGGUCAGCAUACUCGCCGUCGAAUACGUUCCGGGCCUU
RNAcentral lists this ribosomal RNA (361 nucleotides) under uncultured Anaerolineaceae bacterium. RNAcentral describes it as "bacterial SSU rRNA". It matches the Rfam family "Bacterial small subunit ribosomal RNA", at positions 1006 to 1382 of the family's 1533-position model. Lineage: Bacteria; Bacillati; Chloroflexota; Anaerolineae; Anaerolineales; Anaerolineaceae. The record is from RNAcentral.